GCCUAGUUAGCUUGGUUGAUAGCGCGUCCGCCUUGUAAGCGAUAAGUUGCGGGUUCGAUUCCCGCUCGAGGUC
Molecule: transfer RNA, 73 nt
Filed under: Diaphorina citri (Asian citrus psyllid)
Lineage: Eukaryota; Metazoa; Arthropoda; Insecta; Hemiptera; Psyllidae
Rfam family: tRNA
About the family: Transfer RNA (tRNA) molecules are approximately 80 nucleotides in length. Their secondary structure includes four short double-helical elements and three loops (D, anti-codon, and T loops).
Source: Rfam by way of RNAcentral